Molecule: ribosomal RNA, 497 nt
Filed under: uncultured bacterium
Lineage: Bacteria
Description: partial 16S ribosomal RNA
Rfam family: Bacterial small subunit ribosomal RNA
Source: RNAcentral
GGUGAACGCUGGCGGCGUGCCUAAUACAUGCAAGUCGAGCGAACAGAUGAGGAGCUUGCUCCUCUGACGUUAGCGGCGGACGGGUGAGUAACACGUGGAUAACCUACCUAUAAGACUGGGAUAACUUCGGGAAACCGGAGCUAAUACCGGAUAAUAUAUUGAACCGCAUGGUUCAAUAGUGAAAGACGGUUUUGCUGUCACUUAUAGAUGGAUCCGCGCCGCAUUAGCUAGUUGGUAAGGUAACGGCUUACCAAGGCGACGAUGCGUAGCCGACCUGAGAGGGUGAUCGGCCACACUGGAACUGAGACACGGUCCAGACUCCUACGGGAGGCAGCAGUAGGGAAUCUUCCGCAAUGGGCGAAAGCCUGACGGAGCAACGCCGCGUGAGUGAUGAAGGUCUUCGGAUCGUAAAACUCUGUUAUUAGGGAAGAACAAAUGUGUAAGUAACUAUGCACGUCUUGACGGUACCUAAUCAGAAAGCCACGGCUAACUACGUG